CCUCUCAUGGCGUAGUGGUUAACGCGCCCCAACUAGAGAUCGGAGAGUCGUGAGUUCGAUUCUCACUGAGAAGA
Molecule: non-coding RNA, 74 nt
Organism: Aedes aegypti (yellow fever mosquito)
Lineage: Eukaryota; Metazoa; Arthropoda; Insecta; Diptera; Culicidae
Source: Rfam